GAUGAACGCUGGCGGCGUGCCUAAUACAUGCAAGUCGAGCGAACGGACGAGAAGCUUGCUUCUCUGAUGUUAGCGGCGGACGGGUGAGUAACACGUGGAUAACCUACCUAUAAGACUGGGAUAACUUCGGGAAACCGGAGCUAAUACCGGAUGAUAUUUUGAACCGCAUGGUUCAAAAGUGAAAGACGGUCUUUCUGUCACUUAUAGAUGGAUCCGCGCUGCAUUAGCUAGUUGGUAAGGUAACGGCUUACCAAGGCAACGAUGCAUAGCCGACCUGAGAGGGUGAUCGGCCACACUGGAACUGAGACACGGUCCAGACUCCUACGGGAGGAAGCAGUAGGGAAUCUUACGCAAUGCGCGAAAGCCUGACGGAGCACCGCCGCGUGAGUGAUGAAGGUCUUCGGAUCGUAAAACUCUGUUAUUAGGGAAGAACAUAUGUGUAAGUAACUGUGCACAUCUUGACGGUACCUAAUCAGAAAGCCACGGCUAACUCCGUG
RNAcentral lists this ribosomal RNA (497 nucleotides) under uncultured bacterium. RNAcentral describes it as "partial 16S ribosomal RNA". It matches the Rfam family "Bacterial small subunit ribosomal RNA", at positions 28 to 507 of the family's 1533-position model. The record is from RNAcentral.